This 253-nucleotide ribosomal RNA is filed under the name uncultured bacterium. RNAcentral's name for it is "partial 16S ribosomal RNA". It matches the Rfam family "Bacterial small subunit ribosomal RNA", at positions 524 to 776 of the family's 1533-position model. The record is from RNAcentral.
UACGUAGGGUGCAAGCGUUAAUCGGAAUUACUGGGCGUAAAGCGUGCGCAGGUGGUUGUGUAAGCUUGAUGUGAAAUCCCCGGGCUUAACCUGGGAAUGGCAUUGAGGACUGCACGGCUAGAGUGUGGCAGAGGGGGGUGGAAUUCCGCGUGUAGCAGUGAAAUGCGUAGAGAUGCGGAGGAACACCGAUGGCGAAGGCAGCCCCCUGGGCUAACACUGACACUCAUGCACGAAAGCGUGGGGAGCAAACAGG